RNAcentral lists this long non-coding RNA (548 nucleotides) under Hordeum vulgare. RNAcentral describes it as "long non-coding RNA (HVUL_LNC003092)". The record is from RNAcentral. Lineage: Eukaryota; Viridiplantae; Streptophyta; Magnoliopsida; Poales; Poaceae.
AGCAAAUAGAACAUCAACGCCCACAAACUCUUUUGUGUUCUACUCGAGAUGUCAUCUAUGCAUGAACCUAGCUCAUGAUACCACUGUUGGGGAACGUUGCAUGGGAAACAAAAUUUCCUACGCACACGCAAGACCUAUCCAUGGUGAUGAUCAUCUACGAGAUGGGAGAGUGAAUCUACAAACCCUUGUAGAUCUCUAAGCAGAAGCGUAUAUAACGCAGUUAAUGUAGUGGAACAUCUUCGUGAUCUGAAUCACAGCCCGUCCUGCGAUCUCAUCGCGAACCGUCCCGCGAUCACAUCACGAUCCAUCCCGAUCUAGUGCCGAACGGACGGCACCUCCGUGUUUAGCACACGUACGGCUCGAUGACGUCUUCUCCUUGAUCUAGCAAGACAGGAAGGAGAAGUAGAUGGGGUCUCAACCAGCACGGCUACAUGGUGGAUAUGAUGGUGGAGCAGUGCGAGCAGGGCUUUGCCAAGCGCUUCCGGAACCGAUCUGGGGAGAAAACAGAGUUAUGGGAGAGGUAGGGCUGCCUCCGGGGCUUGGGAAUU